RNAcentral lists this transfer RNA (71 nucleotides) under Cytobacillus horneckiae. RNAcentral's name for it is "Bacillus horneckiae tRNA". It matches the Rfam family "tRNA". From Rfam's summary of the family: Transfer RNA (tRNA) molecules are approximately 80 nucleotides in length. Their secondary structure includes four short double-helical elements and three loops (D, anti-codon, and T loops). Further hydrogen bonds mediate the characteristic L-shaped molecular structure. tRNAs have two regions of fundamental functional importance: the anti-codon, which is responsible for specific mRNA codon recognition, and the 3' end, to which the tRNAs corresponding amino acid is attached (by aminoacyl-tRNA synthetases). tRNAs cope with the degeneracy of the genetic code in two manners: having more than one tRNA (with a specific anti-codon) for a particular amino acid; and 'wobble' base-pairing, i.e. permitting non-standard base-pairing at the 3rd anti-codon position. RNAcentral also lists the same sequence under 3 other names. Lineage: Bacteria; Bacillati; Bacillota; Bacilli; Caryophanales; Bacillaceae. The record is from Rfam by way of RNAcentral.
AGGGGUAUAGUUUAAUGGUAAAACGAAGGUCUCCAAAACCUUUGAUGUGGGUUCAAUUCCUACUACCCCUG